Molecule: long non-coding RNA, 1823 nt
Organism: Homo sapiens (human)
Lineage: Eukaryota; Metazoa; Chordata; Mammalia; Primates; Hominidae
Source: Ensembl
CAUAUGGUUAAAAAAAAAUCAGCACAGUGGAAUCUAAUUGUCUCCCUUGGAAUCUGGGAUGGCUGUCCUACUUAUUUGACCAACAGAAUUUGUCAGAAGGGACUUUCUGUAACUUCUGAAGCUGUCUCAUAAGAAGCCUUGCAGAUUCUGCUCAUGUCUCUUUCCUCUCUGGGAAACAAGUCGCGACUCAGGGAUAAGCCUGAGACACAUGGAGAGAACAUCCUGAUCAAUCUGGUCUUUGCUGCUACCCUGGUCAACAGCCUGAGCUGGAUACCUGGCUGACAAGUACCACCUUUUUCCUACACAGAUGACAACCCAGCCCAUGAGCACCAGGAAAAUUAAACAAAAAGCCGAAAGAAAAAAGAAAAGAAGAAGUCUGGGAGUGAAGUUAUAUGCUUAAAGGCAUGCAUCUAGCAAAUGGCAAAAAAAAUGGAUGAAGACACAAGACUGAUUGUCACUAAAAACCAUGUGGUAUGUUUGAGCAAGUUUUGCAGCCACAUCAGUUUCUGAUUAGACUUACAAUUUAAGUGGGGAAGUGACUUUGGAAGAGACAUGCGUGCUGUCAGCAGAUGGGAGAGAGGAUGGAGAAAGAUGGAGGGAGGCUGCUGUAACACCUGUUCUGGUUGGGAUUCUGAAUGAAUAUGAAAGAUGCCACUGCUACUCCUUCACUUGCUCAUUCUGCAAAAGUUUGUAGAUCUUCUGCAAGGAGAACGGCAUUGUUAACUACCUACAGGAAGUGGUGUUGAUUUCCAAGAAAGAUCUUGUUCUUCAAACUCUGUUACAGCGUCUUCUCUGGAGAAGUCAACAGUGAGAUGGGCUAAAUGAAGAAGGAGCAGCUUAUUGUCUUUGUUGGUUUUCUUUAUUUUCCUUCGAAGCAUCUGGGGGAAGAGGAAGACAAUGGAUGAGAUGGCGUAUGUUCUUUCCGCCCUGUGAAUGAAUCAGAUUUGAACUCCUAAGCAAAAUAGAAAAUGCAGAAAUGGUGCUCAGGCAAAACCUGAGAGACACCGGGCUCAAGCGACUCUCCUCUGAAGUCCAUCUGAUAAAGUCUGAAUUAUGGAUAAGUCCUUUCCCCCUCAAUAGUCUACUGCUUACUAAAGUGUAGCUCAAUGACUCUGUGGGCUUGGGUAAUCAGCAGGUAAGCAUAGCUAUGCCCAAUGAAGCAGGGGCUGUGAGAAGAAGCCUUGAAGAGUACCUAAAGUAGAAAAUAAGUGAACUUUCUCCUAAGCCCAUAGGAAACAUCACUAUCCUGCUGAAGGCAGGGCAGAGGGAACACAGCAGAGUAGGCUCAGAAUAACUGGGAUUUGGGCACUGAUAUUAAUGUCACCAUAUCUACACUUAUUGAUUGUUGAGAUUAUACAUUUGGCUUGAAACCACAGGAACUAAUAUACUCUAAAUAUAAGCUGAGAAAAAUUAAAAAUAACCACAACUACAACAGUAGAAAGAGAAAAUAUAUGAAUGCCAAGAAUCUAAUGUGUAAAUUAACUACAAGGGUUUAGAAGUUUUGGGCAUCUCCCUGGGGAUUAGCUGUGCUCAGUCUCCCCUCCAGGAAAUCAUUUACAACUCUAUGUCUGUUACCCCAAAAUGACUUAAAUGAAGUUUAGGAUAAGACAGAGACAAGUUCAGAACAAGACAUGGGUGAGGUUCAGAAGAAUGAAAUUGAAAUUAUAUGAAUUUCCAAUUGUUAGAGAUGCAUGAGUGAGAUACAGGUUUUCAAGUGUUGUGAUGUCAUACCAUAAAAUGAUUAUAAACAUUUAGGAAACAAUCUCUCCUGUGGAAUCAGGAAUCAUUACUAAAUAUCACAAUUAUAGUGGAGACGCUGAAGA